AAUUAUAUAUUAUUUAUGUGUAAAUAACAUAUGUAUAUAUUUGCGUUCAGCACGCAAAAAAUUUUCAACUUUGGGCCCGUGCACACGGGCCAUUACUACCUAUUAUGUGUAUAUAUAGAUAUUUUUUAACUACAUUUUAAUUUCUGAAAUUCUUUUUUACAUGGAUUGUGUUCUCCUGACAUUCAGCCAUCAAAAAGGACUCGGCAAAAUGGGAAAGUCCAGGGUCACAUCAGAAACUAGAAACCUGGAGGGUAUAUCUCUACUAUGGGGUGGUAAUACUGAGCUUCUCAUGCAGUCAAUCACGAACCCACCACAACAUCAAAGGAGUCAGAAUCGAUGCAGAAUGAGCUAAAUCAAUAUCAAACCAAGAUAUGUUCUUACCCACUAGAGCUAAUACCCAUUCAAGAUGGGGCUUUCAGCAAAAAGAAGCAGCACAUCCACCCACCGGAGAGCACAAAAAAAAAAAAAAGAACAAGUUAGUGCAGUAUUCGAAUAGGAGAUAGAGAAGUAGAAAGUACUCACUAUUGAAAGCUGAUACACAAGCAGUGGGAGCAAAGCAAAACCAUUAAUGAUCCAGAGGAAAAGAAGCAAAAGCUGGUGAUUGAAUAGCGUUGGCAACGUCAGGUUCAGGUGCUCAGGGCGGAAGGAAAUAAAGGCUGAAUUAGGAAACCCUUGUUCUUAGGGUAUAUGUAAUAGAGAUAGUUGGUCAAAUCGGGUUUUCGAAUUGGGCUAUAGAUUAGAUUUUUGUUUCUUAGUUUAGUUGUUUGUUUUUAUUUUGGACCAGUUGCCUUCGUUGUGUAUUUGAUUUUCUUAAUUAAUCAAUAAAAUUUAAAAUUUGUUUUUUAAAAAAAAAGUAUUCUCCUGACUGAGGAUUCCGUGAUUUUAAAGACCAUAUUUAAAAUAGGAAAUGUCACGUGAAUUGGAUCGUAGCAGUUACUUUUUUACGAGAAAAGAAAAUGAAAAGUUGUUCCAUGAACUUAUAGAUGUUUUCUGUUGUCACAUAUGGCACUUUGCUGGCACUUAUGAUGUGUGCUUCAAAACUAGAGGUCCUUUUGGUACCAUGAGGUUCAGAGCUGAGCAAUCACAUGGUGCAAACAAUGGUAAGUGCCGUAGAAAAUAUAUCACAAUACUAGGCAAGUCUGAUGCGACAAGUUCACAAUUGAUUGCAGACGGAGGUUGAAUUCGAUAAUAAAUCUCCCACACGAAAGAUUCACCUCCCAACAACGCAACCAUUCCCUCGCCAAUAAACUUAAAGCUUUAAACAAAAUACAACAACAAUAUACCCAAUGUACCAUUACCUCGGAUAAAGUACAUAGACUAUUUUCAAAUUGAUUCUAAUAUUCCAAAUUCAAUCAAAUAUAAUAAUAAAUGGAUGAAGUAGUAAAUAUUCUUGAUAAUAAUAAGGAACAAAAAGCAACAAAGUCAGAUGUUAUGGAAUUUGUCAUUCGUCCUGUCACUUCAAACAUGUUGCCAACUUGACUACACAUAUAUCCAAUCAAAAUUAAAGUAUAUAAUAAAAAACAAAAAUUACAAAUAAUGACUCCCACUUUGAAAAAAAACUCAUCAAUCUAUUUUAACUAAUCUAAUCUUCAUUAAUUCCAAAUUAAUAUCCAUAUACGUCAACCUCAAAAUCUUCUUGUCCAUUCUUUUAUUUUAUUUAAAUAUGGUAUAUGUAUUUAGGCAGCUUAAUCAAAUCAAAGGUAUGAUUAUCUUGCAAAGAUUUAAUUUCAUCUUCCAUAGCAUCAAACUACUUUUCUUUUUCAUCAAACUACUUUUUUUUUCUUCACUUUUCAUGGCCUCAUCAAGACUCUUAGAUUCUCCCCCGUCAGUCAAACGUACAUACUCACUGGGAGAAUAACGAGAUGAAGGUAUUCUUUCUCUUGUAGAUCGUCUGAGAGAACUCUCUGGAGCAUCAACAACUGGUUGCUGAUCAACCAUAUCAACUUGCACUGGAGCAUCAACAACUUUUUGCUGGUCAUUCUGAACAUGAUCAUCAUCUUCAUUAUCAACUUGAUUUUCAUCAUCAUGAAGAUUUUCUUCAGGAGCAGUAGUCAAAAGAACUAGAUCAAUAUCAACUAAGCUCUCACUACUCUGAGAAUCAACCUUCCCAGCUUUGUCAAAAUCUUCAAUUGUUUGGUCUUCAAAGAACACAACAUCGCGACUUCUAACAAGUUUCUUCUCAAUUGGAUCAUAGAAACGAUAGCCAAAUUCAUCUUGACCAUAACCAAUGAAGAUACACUGUCUAGUUUUAACAUCCAACUUUGACCUUUCAUCCUUAGGAACAUGAACAGAAGAUUUACACCCAAAGACUCUAAGAUGGUCAUAAGAAACAUUCUUAUCAGACCAAACUCUGUCAGGGACAUCACCAUUCAAAGCAACAGUAGGAGAUAAAUUGAUAACAUAAACAACCGUAUUAAGUGCUUCUGCCUAAAAGGAAUUUGGUAGUUUAGCAUCUGAAAGCAUACAUCUAACCCUAUCAACUAGUGUUCUGUUCAUCCUGUCUGCUAAGCCAUUCAACUGAGGAGUCUUUGGAAGAGUUUUCUGAUGCCGAAUACUCUGCUCUCUGCAAUAUCUAUCAAAAGGACCAAUAUGCUCACCACCAUUAUCUGAACGGAUGUAUUUCAAUUUUUUCCUUGUUUGUCUUUCAUCCAAGGCUUAAAAAUUCUUGAACACAUCAAGUACUUGAUCCUUGAACUUCAAAGGAAAUAUUCAGAGUUUGCGAGAAUGAUCAUCAAUAAAAAUCACAAAGUAAAGUGCAUCACCAUGAGACCUUACUUUAAAAGGACCGCACAAAUCAGAAUGCACCAACUCCAGCAAAUCGAGCUUUCUUGAAGGCGGAUGACUCUGAAAAGAAACUCUUUUCUGUUUACCGGCUAAGCAAUGAACACACUUCUUCAACUUUGCUUGUUUUACUCCAGAAAGCAAAUUUUUCUUAGCCAAACUAUCAAUCCCCUUCUCACUCAUAUGACUCAACCUUCUAUGCCACAACUCUGAUGAAGUAUCAUUCUCCACCAAGUUUAUCAAGCCUCUAGAAGUAGAGCCCUGAAAUAUGUACAAGUUAGACAACUUGUCAUCUCGAUCCACAAUCAUCGAACCUUUAGUAAGCUUCCACUGGCUAGCACCAAGGUUAUUAACAUAACCCUCAUCAUCAAGACUUCCUACAGAAAUCAAAUUCAGGCGAACAUCUGGAGCAUGCUAGACAUUAUUGAGAACUAGUUUGGAACCAUUGUUUCCAAACAAAUCGUGCCAAUACCAAGUACUUUAAAUUCAUCAUAUUUUCCAUUUUCAACAUCCCAAAAUUACCUGGAGUAUAAGAAGAAAAUAAUACCUUCUUUGGCAUAACAUGAGAAGUAACACCAGAAUCCACAAACCAGCUAGACUCAUCGCGAACAAGAUUAAUGGCAUUUUCACUACAAGCAACAAGAAGAUCAUCAUCAGCAACACAAUUUUCAUUAUCGCUUUCUUUCUUUUGCCGUCUUAUAUCUCUCUUAUGCUUGUAACAAUAUUUUAUGAUAUGCCUCUUUUUGUUGCUAUAGUCACAUGUAACAUUCUUGAAUUUGGAUCUUGACUUGCUUCUACUUUUAUCUCUAUCAUUUGAAUAUCUGGACUUGUUUCUCCCCCUCUCUUCAGUAACCAAAACAUCAGAGUAUGGAGAUGAAGAAGAUGAGGCCUGAGAUCUUCUUCUCAUCUCUUUAUUCAAGACACCACUCUUAACAUAUUCCAUAGUUACAAUACCACCAGGAGCAGAAUUAGUCAAAGAAACUCAAAGAGUUUUCCAAGAGUCAGGCAGAGUAUUAAAAAGUCAAAGUCCCUGAAUUUCUUCAUCGAACUUUAUACCCAUUCCGGACAGCUGGUCAAGGACACCCUGAAAAUCAUUUAUAUGAUCAGAAAUAGGAUUGCCUUCUUUAUACCUGAUAUUCAUCAAUUGAUUAAGCAGGAGCAACUUGUUAUUGCCAGUCUUCGAAGCAUAAAGUGUCUCAAGCUUGUCCCACAAACUUCUAGCAUGUGUCUUAUUCACAAUAUGAUUUAUAACAUUAUCUUCAACCCAUUGUCUAAUAUAGCCACAAACCUAUAAGUGCUCAAAUUCUCAAUCCUCAUUUGUCAUGGAUUCAGGUUUAGUAGAUGCAAACACAGGUAGAUGUAUUUUCUUGACAAAUAGAAGAUCUUUCAUCUUGCCUAUCCAAGUAUGAUAGUUACUACUAUUCAAACACACCAUCUUACUCAUAUUUUCCUCCAUCAAUUAAAUCGAUAAUCAACAACAACCAACACUCUGAUACCACUUGUUAAAAAAGAUGGGCACACAAUCAAAGAGCCCGACAGGGUAGUAGCGAAAAAUACCCAAGACUAAAAUUUUCCUUUCAACUUGAACCAAGAGGAGAUAAAUAAACUCAAGAAAAAUAGAGUAAUAUACAACAAACAACUCAACCAAAUAAAACAAUACAAGAAUAAAGGCAAUCACACGAGACACAAGAUUUACGUGGAAAACCAUUUAGUGUGAAGAGUAAAAAACCACGGGACCAAAACUUCCACUAUAAUCACCUAAGAUUUACAAUAUUGUGCUUCAAAAUUGCCACCAAACAAGUUCCAAACAACAAGAAAUAAUAAAUAAUCCACAGCACCAAACACUAGAGAAACAAAGGAGUGAAAGCACAAAAAAUACAGCUACUGUUCGAAAAUGAAGAACAGGAGAUACAUGUCAUAAAAUCAAGAUCCGUUAGUUCCUAAUUAAAUAUUGAGAUGAGAGGAACAAGCAGUCCAAAAAUCAGCUCAAUCGGACAAGUAACGAAGCGGGAAUCACAAUUUGAAGUUGACAGUUGUGGCUGAAAUUUAGGUGAGAAAAUCAGCAUUGUUUUUCUCUCUUUGGCUGCUGAAAACUCUCUUUUUUGUGAUGGUGAAUAAGACCUAAAAAUAUCAAUAUAUAUGCCCUAUAGUAAUGGGCCUAUGGGCAAAAGUGGGUUUGUCCAAAUUGGGCUUCAUUUUAUCCACAUAGGAAGGGACAAAGGCCUAUGACCCAACAAAAUGCAGCACUAUGUAAAUAGUCUAGAAUGUAGAUAAGAAUUUCUAGAAUGUAAGCAAACGAUUGUCAAUUAUAUAUUGUUUAUGUGUAAAUAACAUAUGUAUAUAUUUGCGUUCAGCACGCAAAAAAAUUUCAACUUUGGCCCGUGCACACGAGCCAUUACUAUUUAGUAUAUGUAUAUAUAGAUAUUUUUUAACUACAUUUUUAUUUUUAAAAUUCCUUUUUACAUGGAUUGUGUUCUGACAUUCAGCCAUCAAAAGGGACUUGGAAAAAUGGGAAAGUCCAGGGUCACAUCAGAAACAAGAAACCUGGAGGGUAUAUCUCUACUAUGGGGUGGUAAUACUGAGCUUCUCAUGCAGUCAAUCACG
RNAcentral lists this long non-coding RNA (5385 nucleotides) under Capsicum annuum. RNAcentral's name for it is "long non-coding RNA (CANN_LNC005496)". Lineage: Eukaryota; Viridiplantae; Streptophyta; Magnoliopsida; Solanales; Solanaceae. The record is from RNAcentral.